GACGAACGCUGGCGGCGUGCUUAACACAUGCAAGUCGAACGAAGAGCGAUGGAAGCUUGCUUCUAUCAAUCUUAGUGGCGCACGGGUGAGUAACGCGUAAUCAACCUGCCCUUCAGAGGGGGACAACAGUUGGAAACGACUGCUAAUACCGCAUACGAUCUAACCUCGGCAUCGAGGAAAGAUGAAAGGUGGCCUCUAUGUAUAAGCUAUCACUGAAGGAGGGGAUUGCGUCUGAUUAGCUAGUUGGAGGGGUAACGGCCCACCAAGGCGAUGAUCAGUAGCCGGUCUGAGAGGAUGAACGGCCACAUUGGGACUGAGACACGGCCCAGACUCCUACGGGAGGCAGCAGUGGGGAAUCUUCCGCAAUGGACGAAAGUCUGACGGAGCAACGCCGCGUGAGUGAUGACGGCCUUCGGGUUGUAAAGCUCUGUUAAUCGGGACGAAAGGCCUUCUUGCGAAUAGUGAGAAGGAUUGACGGUACCGGAAUAGAAAGCCACGGCUAACUACGUG
RNAcentral lists this ribosomal RNA (510 nucleotides) under uncultured bacterium. RNAcentral's name for it is "partial 16S ribosomal RNA". It matches the Rfam family "Bacterial small subunit ribosomal RNA", at positions 28 to 507 of the family's 1533-position model. The record is from RNAcentral.